Molecule: ribosomal RNA, 306 nt
Filed under: uncultured Pseudomonas sp.
Lineage: Bacteria; Pseudomonadati; Pseudomonadota; Gammaproteobacteria; Pseudomonadales; Pseudomonadaceae
Description: bacterial SSU rRNA
Rfam family: Bacterial small subunit ribosomal RNA
Source: RNAcentral
GGGUUAAGUCCCGUAACGAGCGCAACCCUUGUCCUUAGUUACCAGCACGUUAUGGUGGGCACUCUAAGGAGACUGCCGGUGACAAACCGGAGGAAGGUGGGGAUGACGUCAAGUCAUCAUGGCCCUUACGGCCUGGGCUACACACGUGCUACAAUGGUCGGUACAAAGGGUUGCCAAGCCGCGAGGUGGAGCUAAUCCCAUAAAACCGAUCGUAGUCCGGAUCGCAGUCUGCAACUCGACUGCGUGGAGUCGGAAUCGCUAGUAAUCGUGAAUCAGAAUGUCACGGUGAAUACGUUCCCGGGCCUU